RNAcentral lists this ribosomal RNA (497 nucleotides) under uncultured bacterium. RNAcentral describes it as "partial 16S ribosomal RNA". It matches the Rfam family "Bacterial small subunit ribosomal RNA", at positions 28 to 507 of the family's 1533-position model. The record is from RNAcentral.
GAUGAACGCUGGCGGCGUGCCUAAUACAUGCAAGUCGAGCGAACAGACGAGGAGCUUGCUCCUCUGACGUUAGCGGCGGACGGGUGAGUAACACGUGGAUAACCUACCUAUAAGACUGGGAUAACUUCGGGAAACCGGAGCUAAUACCGGAUAAUAUAUUGAACCGCAUGGUUCAAUAGUGAAAGACGGUUUUGCUGUCACUUAUAGAUGGAUCCGCGCCGCAUUAGCUAGUUGGUAAGGUAACGGCUUACCAAGGCGACGAUGCGUAGCCGACCUGAGAGGGUGAUCGGCCACACUGGAGCUGAGACACGGUCCAGACUCCUACGGGAGGCAGCAGUAUGGAAUCUGCCGCAAUGGGCGAAAGCCUGACGGAGCAACGCCGCGUGAGUGAUGAAGGUCUUCGGAUCGUAAAACUCUGUUAUUAGUGAAGAACAAAUGUGUAAGUAACUAUGCACGUCUUGACGGUACCUAAUCAGAAAGCCACGGCUAACUACGUG